GCAUGGUUCUCAGGGCAUCUAAUAAAAUUUAAAAAUACAGAGAAAAUUAGCAUGACCCUGCGCAAAGAUGACAUGCUUAAAUCAAGAAAUGGUUCAAAUUUUU
Molecule: non-coding RNA, 103 nt
Organism: Arabidopsis suecica
Lineage: Eukaryota; Viridiplantae; Streptophyta; Magnoliopsida; Brassicales; Brassicaceae
Source: the annotation of a GenBank genome assembly